This 27-nucleotide ribosomal RNA is filed under the name Tritrichomonas sp. AUTf. RNAcentral describes it as "partial 28S ribosomal RNA". The record is from RNAcentral. Lineage: Eukaryota; Parabasalia; Tritrichomonadida; Tritrichomonadidae.
GGUUCUGUCUCAUAUAGGAAGACCCGA